Molecule: ribosomal RNA, 1032 nt
Filed under: Staphylococcus aureus
Lineage: Bacteria; Bacillati; Bacillota; Bacilli; Caryophanales; Staphylococcaceae
Description: partial 23S ribosomal RNA
Rfam family: Bacterial large subunit ribosomal RNA
Source: RNAcentral
ACAUGUGGAGCGCUUAGAAGUGAGAAUGCCGGUGUGAGUAGCGAAAGAUGGGUGAGAAUCCCGUCCACCGAUUGACUAAGGUUUCCAGAGGAAGGCUCGUCCGCUCUGGGUUAGUCGGGUCCUAAGCUGAGGCCGACAGGCGUAGGCGAUGGAUAACAGGUUGAUAUUCCUGUACCACCUAUAAUCGUUUUAAUCGAUGGGGGGACGCAGUAGGAUAGGCGAAGCGUGCGAUUGGAUUGCACGUCUAAGCAGUAAGGCUGAGUAUUAGGCAAAUCCGGUACUCGUUAAGGCUGAGCUGUGAUGGGGAGAAGACAUUGUGUCUUCGAGUCGUUGAUUUCACACUGCCGAGAAAAGCCUCUAGAUAGAAAAUAGGUGCCCGUACCGCAAACCGACACAGGUAGUCAAGAUGAGAAUUCUAAGGUGAGCGAGCGAACUCUCGUUAAGGAACUCGGCAAAAUGACCCCGUAACUUCGGGAGAAGGGGUGCUCUUUAGGGUUAACGCCCAGAAGAGCCGCAGUGAAUAGGCCCAAGCGACUGUUUAUCAAAAACACAGGUCUCUGCUAAACCGUAAGGUGAUGUAUAGGGGCUGACGCCUGCCCGGUGCUGGAAGGUUAAGAGGAGUGGUUAGCUUCUGCGAAGCUACGAAUCGAAGCCCCAGUAAACGGCGGCCGUAACUAUAACGGUCCUAAGGUAGCGAAAUUCCUUGUCGGGUAAGUUCCGACCCGCACGAAAGGCGUAACGAUUUGGGCACUGUCUCAACGAGAGACUCGGUGAAAUCAUAGUACCUGUGAAGAUGCAGGUUACCCGCGACAGGACGGAAAGACCCCGUGGAGCUUUACUGUAGCCUGAUAUUGAAAUUCGGCACAGCUUGUACAGGAUAGGUAGGAGCCUUUGAAACGUGAGCGCUAGCUUACGUGGAGGCGCUGGUGGGAUACUACCCUAGCUGUGUUGGCUUUCUAACCCGCACCACUUAUCGUGGUGGGAGACAGUGUCAGGCGGGCAGUUUGACUGGGGCGGUCGCCUCCUAAAAGG